RNAcentral lists this ribosomal RNA (1325 nucleotides) under uncultured cyanobacterium. Its description in RNAcentral is "bacterial SSU rRNA". It matches the Rfam family "Bacterial small subunit ribosomal RNA", at positions 67 to 1440 of the family's 1533-position model. Lineage: Bacteria; Bacillati; Cyanobacteriota. The record is from RNAcentral.
CGAGCCUUCGGGCUAGUGGCGGACGGGUGAGUAACGCGUGGGAAUCUGCCCUCAGGAGGGGGAUAACGGCCGGAAACGGCCGCUAAUACCCCAUAUGCCGAGAGGUGAAAUGAAUUUCGCCUGAGGAUGAGCCCGCGUCUGAUUAGCUAGUUGGUGGGGUAAUGGCCCACCAAGGCGACGAUCAGUAGCUGGUCUGAGAGGAUGAUCAGCCACACUGGGACUGAGACACGGCCCAGACUCCUACGGGAGGCAGCAGUGGGGAAUUUUCCGCAAUGGGCGAAAGCCUGACGGAGCAACGCCGCGUGAGGGAUGAAGGCCUCUGGGCUGUAAACCUCUUUUCUCAAGGAAGAAGACAUGACGGUACUUGAGGAAUAAGCCACGGCUAAUUCCGUGCCAGCAGCCGCGGUAAUACGGGAGUGGCAAGCGUUAUCCGGAAUUAUUGGGCGUAAAGCGUCCGCAGGCGGCCUUGUAAGUCUGUCGUUAAAGCGUGGAGCUUAACUCCAUUUCAGCGAUGGAAACUACAAGGCUUGAGUGUGGUAGGGGCAGAGGGAAUUCCCGGUGUAGCGGUGAAAUGCGUAGAUAUCGGGAAGAACACCAGUGGCGAAGGCGCUCUGCUGGGCCAUAACUGACGCUCAUGGACGAAAGCCAGGGGAGCGAAAGGGAUUAGAUACCCCUGUAGUCCUGGCCGUAAACGAUGAACACUAGGUGUCGGGGGAAUCGACCCCCUCGGUGUCGUAGCUAACGCGUUAAGUGUUCCGCCUGGGGAGUACGCACGCAAGUGUGAAACUCAAAGGAAUUGACGGGGGCCCGCACAAGCGGUGGAGUAUGUGGUUUAAUUCGAUGCAACGCGAAGAACCUUACCAGGGUUUGACAUCCUGCGAAUCCCUUGGAAACGAGGGAGUGCCUUCGGGAGCGCAGAGACAGGUGGUGCAUGGCUGUCGUCAGCUCGUGUCGUGAGAUGUUGGGUUAAGUCCCGCAACGAGCGCAACCCACGUCUUUAGUUGCCAGCAUUCAGUUGGGCACUCUAGAGAGACCGCCGGUGAUAAACCGGAGGAAGGUGUGGAUGACGUCAAGUCAUCAUGCCCCUUACAUCCUGGGCUACACACGUACUACAAUGCUACGGACAAAGGGUUGCAAGCUCGCGAGAGUUAGCUAAUCCCAUAAACCGUGGCUCAGUUCAGAUCGUAGGCUGCAACUCGCCUACGUGAAGGAGGAAUCGCUAGUAAUCGCAGGUCAGCAUACUGCGGUGAAUACGUUCCCGGGCCUUGUACACACCGCCCGUCACACCAUGGAAGUUGGCCAUGCCCGAAGUCGUUACUCCAACC